RNAcentral lists this ribosomal RNA (207 nucleotides) under uncultured bacterium. RNAcentral's name for it is "partial 16S ribosomal RNA". It matches the Rfam family "Bacterial small subunit ribosomal RNA", at positions 568 to 774 of the family's 1533-position model. The record is from RNAcentral.
CGCGUAGGCGGUCUUUUAAGUUCCGUGUGAAAUCCCUCGGCUCAACUGGGGAACGGCACGGGAAACUGGGAGGCUUGAGUUCGGGAGAGGGAAGCGGAAUUCCGGGUGUAGCGGUGAAAUGCGUAGAUAUCCGGAGGAACACCGGUGGCGAAGGCGGCUUCCUGGACCGACACUGACGCUGAGGCGCGAAAGCUAGGGGAGCAAACG